GUAGGUGAACCUGCGGAAGGAUCAUUAUAGUGCAACCGAGGCGCCUGGGCUGUCGCUGACCUUUGGUCGUGCACGCCCAGAGUGCUCUCUCACAUCCAUCUCACCCCUUUGUGCAUCAUCGCGUGGGGCCCUCUCUUUUGGCUUGUUCCGGAAGGGGGGGGUUCACGUUUUUACACGAACAACCCAUUAAUGCAUGUGUAGAAUGUCUUAUUUUUGCGGUCACACGCAAUCAAUACAACUUUCAACAACGGAUCUCUUGGCUCUC
This 265-nucleotide unclassified non-coding RNA is filed under the name rhizosphere metagenome. RNAcentral's name for it is "partial ribosomal RNA internal transcribed spacer region". The record is from RNAcentral.